This 489-nucleotide ribosomal RNA is filed under the name Babesia sp. Its description in RNAcentral is "SSU rRNA". It matches the Rfam family "Eukaryotic small subunit ribosomal RNA", at positions 500 to 1039 of the family's 1831-position model. The record is from RNAcentral. Lineage: Eukaryota; Apicomplexa; Aconoidasida; Piroplasmida; Babesiidae.
GUCUUGUAAUUGGAAUGAUGGUGACCUAAACCCUCACCAGAGUAACAAUUGGAGGGCAAGUCUGGUGCCAGCAGCCGCGGUAAUUCCAGCUCCAAUAGCGUAUAUUAAACUUGUUGCAGUUAAAAAGCUCGUAGUUGAAUUUUUGCGUGGUGUUAAUAUUGACUGAUGUCGAGAUUGCACUUCGCUUUUGGGAUUUUUCCCUUUUUACUUUGAGAAAAUUAGAGUGUUUCAAGCAGACUUUUGUCUUGAAUACUUCAGCAUGGAAUAAUAGAGUAGGACUUUGGUUCUAUUUUGUUGGUUUGUGAACCUUAGUAAUGGUUAAUAGGAACGGUUGGGGGCAUUCGUAUUUAACUGUCAGAGGUGAAAUUCUUAGAUUUGCUAAAGACGAACUACUGCGAAAGCAUUUGCCAAGGACGUUUUCAUUAAUCAAGAACGAAAGUUAGGGGAUCGAAGACGAUCAGAUACCGUCGUAGUCCUAACCAUAAACUA